This is a long non-coding RNA of Podarcis raffonei (Aeolian wall lizard), 624 nucleotides long. RefSeq lists it as uncharacterized. Lineage: Eukaryota; Metazoa; Chordata; Lepidosauria; Squamata; Lacertidae. The record is from RefSeq and is a predicted model, not a curated record. The transcript has 2 exons.
UUCAGAUAAAAUCUCCAUUCUGUAGCCAGGCAGCACCUGUGGGACCAGCCAAAUAGAUUCUCCAAGCCCCUGGACUGCAGCAUCUUUAAAGUUCCAACAAACAGCUUAGGGCGUAUAUGAGAAGAGGUGCACAUCAUAUGCUUUAAUUGGGCUUAUUACCUUUUAUUUAAUGUCUUUUGUCUCUAACCUAGAGCACAAUCAUAAUGUAACCGCUAAGGGACUGAACAUAUCAAGCUGCCUUAUAGAGAGUCAGUCAAUGAAUCCAUCUUCUCUACUGCUGUCUACUUUGGACCGGCAGUGGCUAUGCAGAUGAUCAGACACCUGACAAUGUUGCCUGAAGUGUCUUGGUGGUGCAAAACUUCAAAGUUCACAGCGACCAGAAGUUCAAUUGGAUGCAAGUGGUUAAGGAAGGAAAUACAUGGGGAGAGAAAUUAUUUACCUCAGGCCACUUUUCCUGGAUGACGUCAAUGAUGUCGUCUGUAAAGUCCCCCUGAAUGAUUAUUUCAUCCUCUCCUGUUACUGAGGCACCGCAGGAGAAUUUCUGAGCAAAGAACCUUUGUGCUUCCUUAAGGUCUAUUUCUGUUUGGAGUAGAAAAGAACACAAAUAAAACAAUACUGAUUUCA